AGGACCUUGGGUAUUUAUAUCGAGAAUCCUAGUGGCGAACGGGUGAGUAACGCGUUGGUAAUCUGCCCCAAAGAAUGGGAUAACAGUUAGAAAUGACUGCUAAUACCAUAUGUGAUCAUAAUGAUUAGAUGCUUUAUGAUUAAAGGAGUAAUCCGCUUUGGGAGGAGCCUGCGUCCCAUCAGCUAGUUGGUAAGGUAAUGGCUUACCAAGGCUAUGACGGGUAGGGGGCCUGAGAGGGUGGCCCCCCACAAUGGUACUGAAACACGGACCAUACACC
This 277-nucleotide ribosomal RNA is filed under the name uncultured bacterium. RNAcentral describes it as "partial 16S ribosomal RNA". It matches the Rfam family "Bacterial small subunit ribosomal RNA", at positions 68 to 339 of the family's 1533-position model. The record is from RNAcentral.